RNAcentral lists this ribosomal RNA (459 nucleotides) under uncultured bacterium. RNAcentral describes it as "bacterial SSU rRNA". It matches the Rfam family "Bacterial small subunit ribosomal RNA", at positions 1 to 507 of the family's 1533-position model. The record is from RNAcentral.
CGAUACGAGUUUGAUCCUGGCUCAGAACGAACGCUGGCGGCAGGCCUAACACAUGCAAGUCGAGCGAACCCUUCGGGGUUAGCGGCGGACGGGUUAGUAACGCGUGGGAAUAUACCCUUUGGUACGGAAUAGCCUCGGGAAACUGAGAGUAAUACCGUAUGUGCCCUUCGGGGGAAAGAUUUAUCGCCAAAGGAUUAGCCCGCGUUGGAUUAGAUAGUUGGUGGGGUAAUGGCCUACCAAGUCUACGAUCCAUAGCUGGUUUGAGAGGAUGAUCAGCAACACUGGGACUGAGACACGGCCCAGACUCCUACGGGAGGCAGCAGUGGGGAAUCUUAGACAAUGGGCGCAAGCCUGAUCUAGCCAUGCCGCGUGGACGAUGAAGGCCUUAGGGGUUGUAAAGUCCUUUCAGAUGGGAAGAUAAUGACGGUACCACCAGAAGAAGCCCCGGCUAACUCCGUG